RNAcentral lists this long non-coding RNA (239 nucleotides) under Homo sapiens (human). RNAcentral's name for it is "non-protein coding lnc-MID1-1:21". Lineage: Eukaryota; Metazoa; Chordata; Mammalia; Primates; Hominidae. The record is from RNAcentral.
GAAAGUGGAGACCAGAUGUUUGAAGCUGGGUAAAGGCAGGGAUGGAGCAGGAACCGAGGAACAAACCUUGGAACUAGGCUCUGAGAUGUAUAAAGGCACAGUGAAUUCCUGAAUCAUCCUUUGAUCUUCCACAAGACUCAGUAUCACUGAUUAACUACAAUUUGAAUAUAGUUCAUCACUGAAGGAAUGAGUGAGUGAAUGAGAAAGUGAGCAAAUGAGGCCGUGGAGGUCACUUAAAC